RNAcentral lists this ribosomal RNA (548 nucleotides) under uncultured Glomeromycotina. RNAcentral describes it as "SSU rRNA". It matches the Rfam family "Eukaryotic small subunit ribosomal RNA", at positions 548 to 1098 of the family's 1831-position model. Lineage: Eukaryota; Fungi; Glomeromycota. The record is from RNAcentral.
UUGGAGGGCAAGUCUGGUGCCAGCAGCCGCGGUAAUUCCAGCCCCAAUAGCGUAUAUUAAAGUUGUUGCAGUUAAAAAGCUCGUAGUUGAAUUUCGGGAUCAGAGUGUCGGUCGUGCCUCGGUACGCACUGGUAUUAUUGGUUCCUACCUUCUGAAGAACCGCGAUGUCAUUAAUUUGGUGUCGUGGGGAAUCAGGACUGUUACUUUGAAAAAAUUAGAGUGUUUAAAGCAGGCUUACGCUUGAAUACACUAGCAUGGAAUAAUGAAAUAGGACGUUUGAUUCUAUUUUGUUGGUUUCUAGGAUUGACGUAAUGAUUAAUAGGGAUAGUUGGGGGCAUUAGUAUUCAAUUGUCAGAGGUGAAAUUCUUGGAUUUAUUGAAGACUAACUACUGCGAAAGCAUUUGCCAAGGAUGUUUUCAUUAAUCAAGAACGAAAGUUAGGGGAUCGAAGACGAUCAGAUACCGUCGUAGUCUUAACCAUAAACUAUGCCGACUAGGGAUCGGAUGAUGUUAAUUUUUUAAUGACUCAUUCGGCGCCUUACGGGAAAC